GAUUGUCCAAACGCAAUUCUCGAGUCUAUGGCUCUGGCCGAGAGUUGAGUCUGGACGUCCCGAGCCGCCGCCCCCAAACCUCGAGCGGG
This 89-nucleotide microRNA precursor is filed under the name Nomascus leucogenys (northern white-cheeked gibbon). RNAcentral describes it as "miRNA (ENSNLEG00000020031.2)". The stretch from base 1 to 68 matches the Rfam family "mir-219 microRNA precursor family", at positions 10 to 79 of the family's 79-position model. Rfam says of the family: The hairpin precursors (represented here) are predicted based on base pairing and cross-species conservation -- their extents are not known. In this case the mature sequence is excised from the 5' arm of the hairpin. Lineage: Eukaryota; Metazoa; Chordata; Mammalia; Primates; Hylobatidae. The record is from RNAcentral.